GACAGGGAAACACCCCAACAAAAAAGACUGAACCGGCGGCGUCAGGAAAAACGCGGCCGGUAAAC
Regulatory RNA element from Dickeya dadantii 3937, 65 nucleotides. It matches the Rfam family "DnaX ribosomal frameshifting element". From Rfam's summary of the family: This family represents a ribosomal frameshifting element found in the mRNA of the dnaX gene in E. coli. The dnaX gene has two encoded products tau and gamma which are produced in a 1:1 ratio. Lineage: Bacteria; Pseudomonadati; Pseudomonadota; Gammaproteobacteria; Enterobacterales; Pectobacteriaceae. The record is from Rfam.